GAUUGCCUCAGUAACGGCGAGUGAAGCGGCAACAGCUCAAAUUUGAAAUCUGGCCCCCAGGGUCCGAGUUGUAAUUUGCAGAGGAUGCUUUUGGCGCGGUGCCUUCCGAGUUCCCUGGAACGGGACGCCAUAGAGGGUGAGAGCCCCGUACGGUUGGACACCAAGCCUGUGUAAAGCUCCUUCGACGAGUCGAGUAGUUUGGGAAUGCUGCUCUAAAUGGGAGGUAUAUUUCUUCUAAAGCUAAAUACCGGCCAGAGACCGAUAGCGCACAAGUAGAGUGAUCGAAAGAUGAAAAGCACUUUGAAAAGAGGGUUAAACAGCACGUGAAAUUGUUAAAAGGGAAGCGCUUGUGACCAGACUUGCGCCCGGUGAAUCACCCAGCUCUCGCGGCUGGGGCACUUUGCCGGCUCAGGCCAGCAUCAGCUCGCCGUCGGGGACAAAAGCUUCGAGAACGUAGCUCUCUUCGGGGAGUGUUAUAGCCCGCUGCACAAUACCCUUCGGCGGGCUGAGGUACGCGCUCCGCAAGGAUGCUGGCGUAAUGGUCAUCAGCGACCCGUCUUGAAACACGGGACCAAGGAGUCAACCUUAUGUGCGAGUGUUCGGGGUGUCAAACCCCCUACGCGAAUUGAAAGUGAACGCAGGUGAGAGCCUUCGGCGCAUCAUCGACCGAUCCUGAUGUUCUCGGAAUGGAUUUG
This 695-nucleotide ribosomal RNA is filed under the name Colletotrichum gloeosporioides. Its description in RNAcentral is "partial large subunit ribosomal RNA". It matches the Rfam family "Eukaryotic large subunit ribosomal RNA", at positions 73 to 792 of the family's 3401-position model. Lineage: Eukaryota; Fungi; Ascomycota; Sordariomycetes; Glomerellales; Glomerellaceae. The record is from RNAcentral.